ACGGAAGGCAGCAGUGAGGAAUAUUGGUCAAUGGAGGCAACUCUGAACCAGCCAUCUCGCGUGAAGGAAUACGGCCCUAUGGGUCUUAAACUUCUUUUAUAGGGGGAUAAAGUGAGGCAUGUAUGCCUUUUUGUAGGUACCCUAUGAAUAAGCAUCGGCUAACUCCGUGCCAGCAGCCGCGGUAAUACGGAGGAUGCGAGCGUUAUCCGGAUUUAUUGGGUUUAAAGGGUGCGCAGGCGGCACGUUAAGUCAGCGGUGAAAUGCAGGGGCUCAACCCCGGCACUGCCGUUGAAACUGGCGAGCUCGAGUACGGAUGAAGUCGGCGGAAUGUGAUGUGUAGCGGUGAAAUGCUUAGAUAUGACGAAGAACACCGAUUGCGUAGGCAGCAGACCAGGCCGUAAAUGACGCUCAUGCACGAAAGUGCGGGGAUCGAACAGGAUUAGAUACCCUGGUA
Molecule: ribosomal RNA, 454 nt
Filed under: uncultured Parabacteroides sp.
Lineage: Bacteria; Pseudomonadati; Bacteroidota; Bacteroidia; Bacteroidales; Tannerellaceae
Description: partial 16S ribosomal RNA
Rfam family: Bacterial small subunit ribosomal RNA
Source: RNAcentral